Long non-coding RNA from Ictalurus punctatus (channel catfish), 1119 nucleotides. NCBI's taxonomy places the organism in Eukaryota, Metazoa, Chordata, Actinopteri, Siluriformes, Ictaluridae. The record is from Ensembl.
GCUGGAGAUGAUAAGCUCAGCUUUAAUCAGACUCGAGAGUGUUUACAAUCCCAAAAUGGCACAAAGUCCCUGCAGCCCCGAGUACUAAACUUAUUACUAACUCAUUAUCUUCUAUCCCCUCUGAAACUCAGACUGAGACUAUCUCUUGUUGUCUCCGAAAUCCAUCUCUGAGCUCACCUGCAGCGCCACGUGACCUGCUGGCUUCUCGCCUGGCUUAGUCAUAACGCGGCAGAGACGCAUGCUGGAUGUGCUCGUUACGCGUCCUCUGCCCUCAGCUCAAGCUAUUAUCUCAGCAGUGGAUGCUAGUUAUAACUAGCAUGAAGAGGAAUGUCUAAGCUGAGCUAGCUCUGUGUGUGUGUCCGGUGAAAUCCGUGCUGUCUAGCUCGUGGAAGAGACUGUAACCAGAGAAGCAGUUACGAUAUUCGAGCAGCACUCGCUAGCUGCAGGCCGAGGGCGUGGGAAUUUAUCGGAUGCUACACAGAGCCGAAUUGUUCCAGACGAAAUGACGUACGUCGAUCAAUUCUGUAACCGCACAGCACUGAUUAACAGUGCUCAAAGUCUAUCCAUGGAGAUAUUUCUCUAGUAACACCUCAUUCACAGGGAUUUGCAGGACAUUAUGUAUUAUUGUAAGAAAGUGCUGCACUGGAGACUCCUUCCAUAAAUGGUACCAUACCAGCAAAAUAUGGUGGGGAAAAAAAAUUGUUGGAUGGCUAUCGAUACCGGUUGAUUCUCAAGGUUUCGUUAUCAGUAUUGAUAGGAGAAAAGAAAAAGUGAUCUCAUGCCAUCUCUGAUGCCACGCACAUGCUGUAACCGUAACACUCUAACCAAUCCCAGCACGUAUCGGCUUCUAACUAGCAUAGCUUACAAUCUGGAUAAGAUUAGUUAUUAUUAGUAACGAAGAGAAAUAAAGAUUGGUUUAACUCUAGUGACGAGGAGGUUGUUUGCAUUCGCUGUAGCUUUGAAGGCAGAAAAUGAAGAGCUGUGGAGCUUCGCGACUAGCCGACUAAUCAGCAUGCAGCCUCAGUUGCACUGAGGCCACAUCACAUACUGGUGAAUGUCCCAGAAACAGACGCGUCCCUAAACAAAUCCUUGUCACUAUAUACAUACAUACACACACAC